UGGGAUGGCAUGGAUGCUUCCUAA
RNAcentral lists this non-coding RNA (24 nucleotides) under Mus musculus (house mouse). Lineage: Eukaryota; Metazoa; Chordata; Mammalia; Rodentia; Muridae. The record is from RNAcentral.